AACUGUGUGGGAUGUAAAUCUGAACGCCCAGUAUUUCAUCUAAUUUUUUUUUUGUUCGCCAAUUGACUGCUCAGAAUAUAGUCUACCUCAUUUUUUCUCACUUGUAGUGCAAUGCGUUUUUCACAAUUUUGAUUGAAGGAUUGUUAAUGUAACCAUGUUUAGGAUGAUGGACAUGAAAGUCAUGGAAUAUAGGAGAGCGGUGAAGCAGGUGAAAGCAGCGGAUCUGAAAAGGAAGAGGCAAAUGACCAGGCAAUGGACAUAGAAUCGCCAAUAGAUGGUAGACGUUCAUCUGAGUCCAACCACCAACCUGAUGAU
This is a non-coding RNA of Cicer arietinum (chickpea), 315 nucleotides long. The record is from RefSeq and is a predicted model, not a curated record. Lineage: Eukaryota; Viridiplantae; Streptophyta; Magnoliopsida; Fabales; Fabaceae.